AUUGAACGCUGGCGGAAUGCUUUACAUAUGCAAGUCGAACGGCAGCACGGGGCAACUUGGUGGCGAGUGGCGAACGGGUGAGUAAUACAUCGGAACGUGCCCAAUCGUGGGGGAUAACGUAGCGAAAGUUACGCUAAUACCGCAUACGAUCUACGGAUGAAAGCGGGGGAUCGCAAGACCUCGCGCGAAUGGAGCGGCCGAUGUCAGAUUAGGUAGUUGGUGGGGUAAAGGCUCACCAAGCCAACGAUCUGUAGCUGGUCUGAGAGGACGACCAGCCACACUGGAACUGAGACACGGUCCAGACUCCUACGGGAGGCAGCAGUGGGGAAUUUGGACAAUGGGCGCAAGCCUGAUCCAGCCAUUCCGCGUGCAGGAUGAAGGCCUUCGGGUUGUAAACUGCUUUGUACGGAACGAAACGGCGAGCUCUAAUACAGUUUGCUAAUGACGGUACCGUAAGAAUAAGCACCGGCUAACUACGUGCCAGCAGCCGCGGUAAAACG
RNAcentral lists this ribosomal RNA (500 nucleotides) under uncultured bacterium. RNAcentral's name for it is "bacterial SSU rRNA". It matches the Rfam family "Bacterial small subunit ribosomal RNA", at positions 30 to 527 of the family's 1533-position model. The record is from RNAcentral.